Opisthocomus hoazin is the source of this 130-nucleotide non-coding RNA. Lineage: Eukaryota; Metazoa; Chordata; Aves; Opisthocomiformes; Opisthocomidae. The record is from Rfam.
CUAUAAAAGAUGUAACAGAUGCAAACUGUAAAACAAGGGCAAUUAACCCUUGCUCUCCUGCGCAGGAUCCCCCCUCGCCUGCGCAUCCAUUGUCUGCUUCUGCGCUGGGAGUUUUACGCAAAACCUAAAA